Molecule: ribosomal RNA, 896 nt
Filed under: uncultured Actinomycetales bacterium
Lineage: Bacteria; Bacillati; Actinomycetota; Actinomycetes; Actinomycetales
Description: bacterial SSU rRNA
Rfam family: Bacterial small subunit ribosomal RNA
Source: RNAcentral
CUUACACAUGCAGUCGAACGAUGAAGCUGGAGCUUGCUCCGGUGGAUUAGUGGCGAACGGGUGAGUAACACGUGAGCAAUCUGCCCUUGACUCUGGGAUAACUGCGGGAAACUGUAGCUAAUACCGGAUACGACACCUUGGGGCAUCCCAGGGUGUGGAAAGAAUUUCGGUCAAGGAUGAGCUCGCGGCCUAUCAGCUAGUUGGUGAGGUAAUGGCUCACCAAGGCGACGACGGGUAGCCGGCCUGAGAGGGUGACCGGCCACACUGGAACUGAGACACGGUCCAGACUCCUACGGGAGGCAGCAGUGGGGAAUAUUGCACAAUGGGCGAAAGCCUGAUGCAGCAACGCCGCGUGAGGGAUGAAGGCCUUCGGGUUGUAAACCUCUUUUAGCAGGGAAGAAGCGAAAGUGACGGUACCUGCAGAAAAAGCACCGGCUAACUACGUGCCAGCAGCCGCGGUAAUACGUAGGGUGCAAGCGUUGUCCGGAAUUAUUGGGCGUAAAGAGCUCGUAGGCGGUUUGUCGCGUCUGCUGUGAAAAUCCGAGGCUCAACCUCGGACCUGCAGUGGGUACGGGCAAACUAGAGUGCGGUAGGGGAGAUGGGAAUUCCUGGUGUAGCGGUGGAAUGCGCAGAUAUCAGGAGGAACACCGAUGGCGAAGGCACAUCUCUGGGCCGUAACUGACGCUGAGGAGCGAAAGCGUGGGGAGCGAACAGGAUUAGAUACCCUGGUAGUCCACGCCGUAAACGGUGGGUGCUAGUUGUGGGUUCCAUUCCACGGAAUCUGUGACGAAGUUAACACAUUAAGCACCCCGCCUGGGGAGUACGGUCGCAAGACUAAAACUCAAAGGAAUUGACGGGGGCCCGCACAAGCGGCGGAGCAUGCGGAUUAAUUCGAU